RNAcentral lists this ribosomal RNA (27 nucleotides) under Perilla frutescens (beefsteak plant). Its description in RNAcentral is "partial 26S ribosomal RNA". The record is from RNAcentral. Lineage: Eukaryota; Viridiplantae; Streptophyta; Magnoliopsida; Lamiales; Lamiaceae. RNAcentral also lists the same sequence under 5 other names.
GACCCCAGGUCAGGCGGGAUUACCCGC